This 246-nucleotide ribosomal RNA is filed under the name uncultured bacterium. RNAcentral describes it as "partial 16S ribosomal RNA". It matches the Rfam family "Bacterial small subunit ribosomal RNA", at positions 526 to 771 of the family's 1533-position model. The record is from RNAcentral.
CGUAGGGUGCGAGCGUUAAUCGGAAUUACUGGGCGUAAAGCGUGCGCAGGCGGUUAUGCAAGACAGGUGUGAAAUCCCCGGGCUCAACCUGGGAACUGCACUUGUGACUGCAUGACUAGAGUGCGUCAGAGGGAGGUGGAAUUCCGCGUGUAGCAGUGAAAUGCGUAGAGAUGCGGAGGAACACCGAUGGCGAAGGCAGCCUCCUGGGAUGACACUGACGCUCAUGCACGAAAGCGUGGGGAGCAA